CCUACGGGCGGCAGCAGUGGGGAAUAUUGGACAAUGGGCGAAAGCCUGAUCCAGCCAUGCCGCGUGUGUGAAGAAGGCCUUCGGGUUGUAAAGCACUUUCAGUGGGGAAGAAAGCCUUGGGGCUAAUACCCUCGAGGAAGGACAUCACCCACAGAAGAAGCACCGGCUAACUCCGUGCCAGCAGCCGCGGUAAUACGGAGGGUGCGAGCGUUAAUCGGAAUUACUGGGCGUAAAGCGCGCGUAGGCGGUCUGAUAAGCCGGUUGUGAAAGCCCCGGGCUCAACCUGGGAACGGCAUCCGGAACUGUCAGGCUAGAGUGCAGGAGAGGAAGGUAGAAUUCCCGGUGUAGCGGUGAAAUGCGUAGAGAUCUGGAGGAAUACCAGUGGCGAAGGCGGCCUUCUGGACUGACACUGACGCUGAGGUGCGAAAGCGUGGGUAGCAAACAGGAUUAGAUACCCGUGUAGUC
RNAcentral lists this ribosomal RNA (465 nucleotides) under Vreelandella stevensii. RNAcentral describes it as "partial 16S ribosomal RNA". It matches the Rfam family "Bacterial small subunit ribosomal RNA", at positions 338 to 795 of the family's 1533-position model. Lineage: Bacteria; Pseudomonadati; Pseudomonadota; Gammaproteobacteria; Oceanospirillales; Halomonadaceae. The record is from RNAcentral.